RNAcentral lists this ribosomal RNA (252 nucleotides) under uncultured bacterium. Its description in RNAcentral is "partial 16S ribosomal RNA". It matches the Rfam family "Bacterial small subunit ribosomal RNA", at positions 524 to 776 of the family's 1533-position model. The record is from RNAcentral.
UACGUAGGUGGCUAGCGUUAUCCGGAAUUACUGGGCGUAAAGCGAGCGCAGGUGGUUUAUUAAGUCUGGUGUAAAAGGCAGUGGCUCAACCAUUGUAUGCAUUGGAAACUGGUAGACUUGAGUGCAGAAGAGGAGAGUGGAACUCCAUGUGUAGCGGUGAAAUGCGUAGAUAUAUGGAAGAACACCAGUGGCGAAAGCGGCUCUCUGGUCUGUAACUGACGCUGAGGUUCGAAAGCGUAGGUAGCAAACAGG